UAUUAAGGGAACGAAGGUCAACUCCACAGCCCGGGGGGCUGACAGACGAGCAGCCCCGCACCUCGCCCCACCUCCCUCACCUCAGCGGCGCCGCGGAGGCCACGACUCUGGGUGGCUGUUAAGGGAGCGGCUCUGUGGGCUCUGUUGCCCUGCAGCUCCCAAAUCAGCGUCGUGAUGAGCUUCGUGGAGCUCCGCUGGGAGCCAGACCCAGCUGCCGAGCCGCGGAGCUGCGCCUGGAACAACCCUGUAGCGAGCACGUCAUGGCUGCCGUGCUCUCGGAUUGAGGCUGACGUCUGCCCGCCAGGGGGAGCCGCCGCCGCCAUGAGGGAGGUGGUGUUGGGGUGGUGGUAGGCGUGGAACGGGGACGAGAGAGGGCUGAUCCCUCCCAGAAAGUGAGGGGGGAAGAGCUUUCUCAGUGCCGGGGUGGUGGAGGAGUGGAACCGUGAGCCUUUCCUCGUGGACUCCUUCUCCCGCCGGGGUUACCACAGACAGCAGGGAUCGAAAGCAACUAGGGCAGCGCUGUGCUGUGAGGUAACACGAUGGAUCGUUUUGCUAACCAGGGAGCUGGCUGUUGUCUUUCUUCAUCUGCUUGUUCUGUCAGUGUGGAAGCUUUGUACUCAAGGUAGGCAAUAGAUACCUGCUAGUUUCAGUCAAACCUGAUGUGGUCCCUGCUGCACUUCUGUCUGCAAGUGAUUUCUCGGACCCUAAUCCAGUGGAAGAGUUGCAUACAUCCCUAACUUGAAGGAUAUUCAUCUGAAAGCAUGUCCCGAAGCUUGGGGUAACUCCAAACUCUUGUCCAAGCCAAGGAAAGAAACAGUUGAAACUGCAGGAGGAGGAGGAGAAAGAAGCUCUAUGUCAGCUAAAUGAUGGAAGAAAUGUAAGAAGGGAAAACUCUAAGAGGAAGUGAGGAAGAAUAUGGUGUGUUUUUUAUCGCUGAGGAAAGAGCACUGCAGGAAACUGAGCGCUGAAUGGUUUUGAAAGGAAUAUGAUUUCUUCCAUUGGGAUUUCCUCCUGGACUUGGGCUUUUGGGCUUUUUUACUUUUUGUAUAAGAUAACCAUGCUUUAAGAAGUGGGAGUUUUGUUCUGUAUCUUUUCCUGUUACAGGGUAACCAAAACUACUAGAUCUCCUCGAAGGGCUGUUUCCAGUUUCUGUUGUCCCCGACAAAAAAACACACUGAAGGUAAAUAUGGGAAACACCUGUUUAAUGGAUUGGAUUACAGUCAGUGGUUACUGAAUGAUAACUCACUCUGUUAUAUUUGAUUAAACACAGGCCAUUCUCAAGCAAAACAAUAAAACUUACCUGAAGAGUUUAAACAUGCUGGUGUCCACCUUCCACAGCAUCUCGCGUUGGCUCAAUGUGAAUUUGUUUCUCAGUAACUUGUUUAGGAUUUGAAAGCUAUGAAGACCCUAUCUUCCACAUGAUCUGAUGUUCAGUGUUAGAUGGGGCUGCUAGCUUGCUUAAUUAGUUCAGCUAACGAUUCAGUUUCUGAAACCUAAUGCCAAUUUGUAUUUCCACAGCAGCUCUCGGUGUGUUUCUCUAAAGCAACUUCUUAAUUAGAGGCUCCCUCUUCUGCAGUUCAUAGCUGCAGUCAUUACCCAUGGAGCAACUCCCUGUAUUCCUUUCAUUCAGGGCUCAAGUGGCAUCUUAUAUGAUUUCCAUUGUAGGAGCCUUAGUAAUGUUUUCCAUACAGCUUCUUGUGUACAGCUGGAACACCUGGCAUCAGGAACCUCUAGGUUGGCUGGUGCUUCCUGCUCUAUAAAUUACCCUCCUCCUCUGUUCAGCUUUGGUAAUGUGUUCAACAUGAACAAGGUUCAGGAAUGCAUUGGCUUAGUUCUCUCCUGUCCGUAAUUCGAAAGUUUGGCCGCAGCACUUGCAUAGCUCUAACAAUACACAAUUGCAUAUUUUACUUAGGACCAUCAGUGCGCUGCCAUUUGGUGAUCUGCAUCUAGUUUGACAUAAUGACAUCUGACGUGUAAGUGCAGCUAAAGCAUGGAAUUCAGUUCCUCCAUGAGGAUGACACACCUCUACUUUAUAUUAUCAGUGCUUGCUGUUGAUGGAAACCACAAUGAAUGUGAGUACAGCGAGGCAGUGUUUCGGCAGUAGCGAUAGCGGGUCACCUCCAUUGGCGCUAUGAGUGGAGCACACAGGAUUUCAUGUUAGCAAAAACACUGGUGGUGACUGAAAAGGUUCUGUAGAUGAGAAUUGGCUUUAUCCAAUAGUGUUAUUGCACUCUUAGGAUCUCUUGUAGUUGCCAUGGAUAUAACGGGAAGCAUUACUCUGCUGUCUAAAUAAGUAGCAAGUGUUUAGAGCCAGAGAGACGCUUAGUAUGGAAACUGGGCUCCAUGUAAGUGUACGAUGUGAAUGGCACGUUGGAGCAUUUUUUAAGUAGAAGAGUGAAAAUUACCGUUAUGCUGAAAAUUGUUAGUCGGUUUCAAAGAAAAUUGUUAAUUUUGACAUCUUGUUCUGGAUUACUUUUUAACACUCAAACUGCACUGUCUGUACAAGGUUAGCAAAGGUUGCCUCUAAGAUGUAUAGAGAAAAGCACUGAGUGGUGGAUGUCUGUUCCUUGUUACUACUGGUAGCAAAACUUACAGGCACUGCGGAGUAUUUAUUAGGUAAAACACAGGUUUAGUACUUUAUUAGAAUGCAAUUUUCUCAGCAUUACAGAAGAGGACACUGAACAGAGAGGAAUACUGCAAGCAACUCCCAUAGAACGCAGCAGUCUCCUUUAAUACCACACAUGCUUUGUCUGAUCACUAGCAGUACUGCAACAAAACACAGCUUUAACUUCACGUCAUGGUUUUAUUCAAUAGAUCCCCUUUUCUUCAGAAGCACAUUUUUACAGAUUAAGACUUUCUCCACAAAGCUUAGAGUCUUGUUUUACACACAAUCAGCAGGGCUACGAAACUUGAAGAGGGAAGAUGCGACAAAGCCACUGCCCUCACUGUCAGCUUCAGUUUGAAGAUCUCAGUACCUUUGUUCCAAAAUACACCCAGUACAGCGGCAGUUUAGAGCUUUACCCAUUUUCCAUAGCAACAGCCUUGAGAACAGAGUAAAAAAAGGCCUAUAAAUGAGACAACAGGACACCCGCUACCAAUUUGUAUUUAUUACAUGAUCAGGUUUCAAGAUGACACAUACAGCUGUGUGAGCUUUUAUUACUGUGGUGUACUGUGCAAAUGCAGUGCAGCUUCAGUGAUGACACGGGCUAUGAGAAAUCAUCACACAAUACCUAGAAACUGAUCGAGUAUGCAAGGAGGGGAAAAAAGAUAAUCACAGAUUGGUGAAAAACUGUAUGAGAACAACUUCAUAGGAAUUUGUCCACAGCCACCCUCUAUGGCAGACUAUGAGCUCCUCCCUUACCCUUCAGGGCUACCACUCAAACUGCUGCUGUAAUACAAACAGGCCUAAGAGCUGCAAAGCAAGAGGACAACUGUUAAAAGGGGCAGCAGAACUUGUGGCGAAACAGAUCAGUGUAAUAGGAAGAGGGUUUUCCAGGAAAAGAUCCUACGUGUUACACAACCAUUACAGGGUUUCACUUGCAUCACGCACUGCUUGGGAAACCAAAACACUGAAGGUACAGGGAGCGAACAUACCACUUCAUUAUGUUCUCAGCAAGUUCCCCCCUUUCUCCAGUGUAUGGAGAAUUACCAGAACAAGCUCAGCUGGCAGAACUCUUUACAGGCAUCAAGUUUUGCCUUUCUGUUUGGCUUCACCACCUCCUCCCCCCUACCCAAGUAACAUGAUUUCACAUACAGUCAUCAAAACUAAAGAAUGCACUCUUCCCCCACUACAUAUGACACAAUACUAAGUGCAAUUCCUCUCAUUUCCUAAACACUUCGCAACACUUGAAGUAGUAGGGAAAGCAAAUUAAAUUCAUUGUAAAUGACAGAGAACAGAGCCUGAGUAGCCAGUACCAACACUGAUUUAUCUUCACCACCACUUUGUACAUAUCAGUCAGUCACUGUACUUCAAUCAUGCAGUGUAUAUUUUUUCCUCCCACAACAGUUACCAACAAGUUAUGUUGUCUAUCACAUCAUUGCUGCAGAAAGGGCUUGCUGAGGCAAGCUGGGCCUGUCAUUGACAACCUCAUCUUCUGUUUUCUUAUGACACUGCAACAUACCUGAACCACAGCAUUACUCUGUUUUCCAAGGAAGGGAAUAGAGGGACAGAAUACCUACUUCUCAUAUAUUAAAAACACACACAUGAACUGAAAAUUAAGGAGCAGUAAUUGAUCCCUGUAGUUUUUGUUCAGAACUGCUGGUUUCCGGCAUUAGGUUGACUCAAGAUUCAGCUCCUGUCACUGAACUCAUAGCCAACAUCGUGACUAUCUUGCUUUAAUUUCUAAGAACGUACCAUGAAAAAAAAAAGUCACAGAAGUUUAACAGUAGAACAACGAGCUUUCAAGACUUCAAACACCCCAUAAGUUUGUAUUUGCAUGCCACCACUCCCCUCCCCCAAGAAAAACUCCCAUCCCCAUUACCAGUGGAUCAAAACAACAUACAUUUGCCAUGCGAAUGACGUAAAGUAAAUGUGAAACUAUUGAAAGAGCAUAAAUAUCAAGCAGAGAGGUUGUUAUUACUUCCUUCUCAAGUAUUUUUUGCAAUUGUGUGAUCUGAAUGUCGACCUGUCAACUGUAAGGAAAAACGUCCAUUAACUAGAUCUAAAGUUCAUGGAAAAAAGGCAAAUUCCUAGCCAAGUUGUCAACUCGUUCUGUUGGAAAGAGGAAAGUAAAGCAGAUUUUGCACAUCUUCGUUUCCUGCUUCCGUUGCCGCCCACUGGAUACCUAUGCAAAUAUUUCAAGGUUCAACUUAACAUACCAAAAAGAGAAGUCAUUUUAAAUCCUUAAAUAGUGUGUUGGGGGUUAUAACAAAGGUUAAAUACAUGACUCUACUGAAACCAGGCAUAGACAUUUCAAGUUUAGGAUAAACGAUGUAA
Non-coding RNA from Coturnix japonica (Japanese quail), 4936 nucleotides. Lineage: Eukaryota; Metazoa; Chordata; Aves; Galliformes; Phasianidae. The record is from RefSeq and is a predicted model, not a curated record.